ACGGAGGGUGCAAGCGUUAAUCGGAAUUAAUGGGCGUAAAGCGCGCGUAGGUUGUUUGUUAAGCGAGAUGUGAAAGCCCCGGGCUUAACCUGGGAACUGCAUUUCGAACUGGCAAGCUAGAGUACAGUAGAGGGUAGUGGAAUUUCCUGUGUAGCGGUGAAAUGCGUAGAGAUGGGAAGGAACAUCAGUGGCGAAGGCGACUGCCUGGACUGAUACUGACACUGAGGUGCGAAAGCGUGGGGAGCAAACAGG
Molecule: ribosomal RNA, 252 nt
Filed under: uncultured bacterium
Lineage: Bacteria
Description: partial 16S ribosomal RNA
Rfam family: Bacterial small subunit ribosomal RNA
Source: RNAcentral